AGUCCACUGUGGACGUGUCCCAAACCACAUAAACACCAUCAUCAGUCCACUGUGGACGUGACCCAAACCACAU
Non-coding RNA from Pangasianodon gigas (Mekong giant catfish), 73 nucleotides. The record is from the annotation of a GenBank genome assembly. NCBI's taxonomy places the organism in Eukaryota, Metazoa, Chordata, Actinopteri, Siluriformes, Pangasiidae.